Molecule: ribosomal RNA, 139 nt
Filed under: uncultured eukaryote
Lineage: Eukaryota
Description: partial 18S ribosomal RNA
Rfam family: Eukaryotic small subunit ribosomal RNA
Source: RNAcentral
UGGUGGAGCGAUUUGUCUGGUUAAUUCCGAUAACGAACGAGACUCUGGCCUAUUAAAAUAGUUCGCCGAUUCCGAUCUGUCGGCGUUAACUUCUUAGAGGGACAAGUGGCUUUUAGCCACGCGAGAUUGAGCAAUAACA